Molecule: long non-coding RNA, 518 nt
Filed under: Ananas comosus (pineapple)
Lineage: Eukaryota; Viridiplantae; Streptophyta; Magnoliopsida; Poales; Bromeliaceae
Description: long non-coding RNA (ACOM_LNC033267)
Source: RNAcentral
UACAUUUUCUCACCUCCUACCUCCUUUCAGGUGACAUUACGGGUCCGAAUCGGGACAGUGCGUGAAACGCGUAUCUAGCGGUCGAUUAGAGCUUCCGACCCGGUGGAUUUAGUUUAAGCUCCUAACUUAACUUUCUCAAAUAAAUGACUUAGAUAUUAUGGUUCAGUGGGUUUUCAGUUUAUUUGGAUUCACGUGAUUUUGUGAAAUUAAUAAUGUAAUUAUGAUUUUUCAAUGAGAUUAUGAAAAUAGUUUUCUACCUCUUGUGGUAGUAUAUUUUCAAAGAAAAAGAGUUUUCGUGUGUAAAACGGUUUUAAAAAGAGUUUUAUUGUUUUUAUGACUCCUAAUAUUUCAAAAUAAGUUUCUGGGUAUGAAACGUUUUAAACUAAUAGAUGUGAAAUUAUGAGUAUCUGUGAUGGACGUGAAUGAUGUAUGUGAAUGGUGAUUGUAUGUGGAUGUUCACAUUGUGUGCUCGUAUCUUGUACUUGUGCGACGCCGUGCAAAUAUAGGGAAGACUCUGU